Carica papaya (papaya) is the source of this 3261-nucleotide non-coding RNA. The record is from RefSeq and is a predicted model, not a curated record. NCBI's taxonomy places the organism in Eukaryota, Viridiplantae, Streptophyta, Magnoliopsida, Brassicales, Caricaceae.
CCUGUUAGGGUUUAUUCGAAGCACUUCAAUCGUUAUCGAGACCUUUAGGUUUUUGUUCGUCUUCGUCGAAUUCCGGUACUGGAGAAAUAAUUCGAUGCUUCGAAGGCUUUUUGGGUUUAUAGGGUCUUGAAAUUACCUUAUUUGAGCUUCGAUAUCUAGGUUUCGUAUUUCCAAUGAGCCGUUGUUUCGAUCUGAGAAAACGGAUUGAGUUUGUUCUUCGAAAAAUUUACUUAGCUUAUUGGAAAUGACGAAAGUUGAAGCUUGCAAGAAGUCAACAAUACAGCAAAGAGCUAGAUUUAGAAGUCGCCUUACAAACUUUUAAGCGGAUUGGGAUUCUGGACGUCCUUUCAGAUUCAUAUUAUCUUGCUGGUGCUCAUAUUUGAUGAGUGAUUAUGGAGAUACAGACGUGUGGAAAACCAAUUGAUUCGCUGUUAGAGAAGGUUCUGUGCAUGAAUAUUUUGUCUUCUGAUUAUUUCAAAGAGCUUUACCGACUAAAAACCUACCAUGAGGUGAUUGAUGAAAUUUACAAUCAAGUUGACCAUGUGGAGCCAUGGAUGACUGGAAAUUGUCGGGGUCCUUCAACAGCAUUUUGUCUUCUUUACAAGUUUUUUACCAUGAAACUCACUGUCAAGCAAAUGCAUGGACUACUAAAGCACCCGGAUUCUCCAUAUAUAAGAGCUGUUGGAUUCCUUUACUUGAGAUAUGCUGGAGAUCCAAAGACUGUGUGGACUUGGUUUGAGCCAUAUGUUAAAGAAGAUGAGGUAUGUGAAAAAAGAUUUGGUACUCUUUUUAGUUGACUAACCUAGUUAUUUGGUACCUCAGCCAAUUAUGGAGAAGCAUUUGUUUCCUUCUUGUAAAGGAAUGCACCUUUCCUUUCUUUCCAAAAAAGUUAUCGAUUAUUUUCUUGCCUCAAAUCUAUGUUUUUGGCCUUCCAAGACCAUCUCUUGUAUGCCAUUUGUAUUUCAUGGUUUAUAUGUUUUUACCUAUGGUGAUGAACUUUGGGCCUUUAAUUGUUUGUGGCAUAUGAACAAUGUGAGAUUUGGAGCAUAGCAACUUUAAGAGAGAAUAGGCAUUAUUAAGCUAGAGAAAUUUCCAUAGAACAGUAUAAAAUUAGUAUGUCCAUUUGCAUUUUGGAAACUAUAUAGUUGGAAGGAGAUAACAUAAUUGGUUAAAUAUUGGUAAAAGGAUCCAAAAAAAUAUAUAUUGGUAAACAUAUGAAGUCACUACCAUGAGGUCUAUCCAAGAUGUUACAGCUUGAUCCUUUAUCAAGAAAUAAGUAUGUAUUACAGAAUGCAGGGUUUGGUCAAGAAGUAUAUAUUGCUGGGUUUAGGAGCUUGGUCUAAUUUUAUAUUCAACAAACAAUUCAUUUUUCGUUGUUAAGUCGUAUUUAGUUUUGUUCUUUCCUACGGUGUUAUAUCCUAUAAAUAUAUACCAAACUCUACCAUAGAGGACAUACUGAUUAUAUGUAUUAUUUUGCUUGAGCAUAACUUUAAUGAGUUCAUCUCAGCAGGAAACUGGCAAGAUUGCAAAUAAAAGCAGCAUCAGUAUUUCCAAAGUUCCCAUAAGACUUGCUAAGAUUUUCUAAAAACAACUUGCUAAGAUUUUCUAAAAAAAGUAUUUCUAGCUGUAGGACAAUUGACUUGAGAGGGUGCAUCUCAAGUCAUAUUCGUGGAUCAUGAAAAACUUGCGUAUUUUAGGGUGUACGACAUAUAAAACUAAAUUCUUGCUUUUGUUUAAGUUCUUAUUUCUUUCCCCUGAUUUUAGUUUACUUUUUGUCUAUUUUAGUUUAGCAUUGGUUUUGAUUACUAUAGACUCUAACUUCUUUUACCUUUGUUCCAAUUCUAUUUCAAUUUUUCUGUCUGUUCUGAUGUUUUUACCUUCUGAUCCUAUGAUCUUUCUUUGUGCAUAACAACAAUUUUCUGAGCAAUUUGGAACAUUUACUCAAUUAGGGACUGAAGGAUCAUUCAAUCCUACGAUCUGGGUUGCAAUUUUAACAGCUAUGGUUGCAAUCGAAUUCUCACCUGGAUCAAAUGGGCGAAUGACAACAAUGGGUGCAUAUGUGCGCGAUUUACUUCUUGGACAGUACUACUUUGAUACUCUUUUUCCACGUAUUCCUGUUCCUAUCUUGCGGCAGAUUGUAGCCAAUCUUGAAAAGAUGAAGUUGCCUUCCAAACAUUCUGGUGUAACUGGGGAUACCAAUAGGCAUGGAUCUGAUGAUACGGCCCGUCGACCACCCUCUGUGAAAGCGGCACUUUCAGUUUCAUUUGGACAGCGUGCUCCUCAUCGUGCAUCAACUAGGGACUCAUCUCCUGUUCGUCGUACUCUGCCACCACCCGCUUAUGAUAGAACUAGUGUGGAUGAUCAACGAAAAUCUCCAAGUAGUCGUCGGAGCCAGAGUCGUGACUACUAUUCUGAUAGGGAAAAUUCAGAACGUGAUCGGGAACGUGAUCGGGAACGGAGCCGAGACCAAGAUAGAGAUAGAGACAGAGACAGAGACAGGGAGAGGGAUAGAACGAGAGAUCGAGAUAGGGAGAGAGAUAGAGACAGAGAGAGGGAUCGAGAUAGACAUGGAGACAGGGAUAGGGAUCGAGACAGGGGCAGAGAUCGUGACUGGGACAGAAUCAGGGAUAGAGACAGGGAUAGGGAGAGGGAGAGAGACAGAGAAAAAAGGUAUGAGUCUGAUCGGAGGUCAAGGUAUUCAGAAAGAGAAAGCAGAAGGGAUUACGAUGAUGAUAGGCAAUACAGAGAAUCUAAUUCCCGUAGAAGUCGUAGCCGGAGCAGAAGCAGGAGUCAAAGUUUGCAAGCUAGCAACAUGCAUUUUGAUCAUCAUUCAAGUCCACAGCGAGAUGGUGGCAAAGAGAGGACUUCUGCUGCAACAAAUUUAGCCAAGCUUAAGGAUCUCUAUGGUGAUAUAACUGAUACAAAAGGGAAUGGUGAAAGUGAGAGGAUUCCUAGGCGGGAUACCAGUAGCGAAGAGGUGAUUAGGCUCGGAGGUUCUAAAUGGAAAUAGUUUGUCGUGUAAUUUCCCCACUUCCUAUGUAUCAUUUGGAUCUUCAAUUCUGAAAAUGAUAGGGUUUUCAAAGGUCAUGAUACAUUCAUGCUUAUUUUUUUCUUUUCUUCCGCCCAAAGACGUGGUGACUGAUUGGCUGAAGACAUGCGGAAGCACUUGCCGUGUAAUUCCAUGGCUGUCGUGUCUACUUGAUGUUUAUUCAGUGUCUUGUUAAAAUCUAUUGAAUGCUAUAUGAACUUCCUCGUACAUAA